UUGGAGGGCAAGUCUGGUGCCAGCAACCGCGGUAAUUCCAGCUCCAAUAGCGUAUAUUAAAGUUGUUGCAGUUAAAAAGCUCGUAGUUGAAUUUCGGGGUCAGUAGGUUGGUCAUGCCACUGGUAUGUACUGGUCUCACUGAUUCCUCCUUCCUGAUGAGCCGUAAUGCCAUUAAUUUGGUGUUGCGAGGAAUCUGGACUGUUACUUUGAAAAAAUUAGAGUGUUUAAAGCAGGCUAACGCUUGAAUACAUUAGCAUGGAAUAAUGAAAUAGGACGUUCGAUCUUAUUUUGUUGGUUUCUAAGAUUGACGUAAUGACUAAUAGGGAUAGUCGGGGGCAUUAGUAUUCAAUUGUCAUGAGGUGAAAUUCUUGGAUUUAUUGAAGACUAACUACUGCGAAAGCAUUUGCCAAGGAUGUUUUCAUUAAUCAAGAACGAAAGUUAGGGGAUCGAAGACGAUCAGAUACCGUCGUAGUCUUAACCAUAAACUAUGCCGACUACGGUCGGAUGAUGUUAAUUUUUUAAUGACUCAUUCGGCGCCUUACGGGAAACA
RNAcentral lists this ribosomal RNA (550 nucleotides) under Rhizophagus intraradices. RNAcentral's name for it is "SSU rRNA". It matches the Rfam family "Eukaryotic small subunit ribosomal RNA", at positions 548 to 1099 of the family's 1831-position model. Lineage: Eukaryota; Fungi; Glomeromycota; Glomeromycetes; Glomerales; Glomeraceae. The record is from RNAcentral.